This 250-nucleotide ribosomal RNA is filed under the name uncultured bacterium. RNAcentral's name for it is "partial 16S ribosomal RNA". It matches the Rfam family "Bacterial small subunit ribosomal RNA", at positions 524 to 773 of the family's 1533-position model. The record is from RNAcentral.
UACGGAGGGUGCAAGCGUUAUCCGGAUUUAUUGGGUUUAAAGGGUCCGUAGGCGGAUCUGUAAGUCAGUGGUGAAAUCUCAUAGCUUAACUAUGAAACUGCCAUUGAUACUGCAGGUCUUGAGUGAGAUUGAGGUAGCUGGAAUAAGUAGUGUAGCGGUGAAAUGCAUAGAUAUUACUUAGAACACCAAUUGCGAAGGCAGGUUACCAAGUCUUAACUGACGCUGAGGGACGAAAGCGUGGGGAGCGAAC